RNAcentral lists this ribosomal RNA (548 nucleotides) under Aspidiotini gen. sp. D3704A. RNAcentral describes it as "partial 28S ribosomal RNA". Lineage: Eukaryota; Metazoa; Arthropoda; Insecta; Hemiptera; Diaspididae. The record is from RNAcentral.
AUCUGGGCGGCGGAAUUCAGGGUGGCUGACGUGCUCUCGCGGUGCGUCGGUCGUUUGAUAUUUCCGUUGCCAACUAACCGCAGACGUCGCGACCUGUUCGCGGUCGGUCCCUGCUCGGAGGAGCCGCGUUCGAGUUCGUUGUGUGCGCGUCUCGGCGCGUCACACGGCGAAGGCGCGGAUCUCUGGCUGACCGUCGGACAGUAUGCUUAACGGUGUCCGGUGUCGUCGUCUCGUACGCGCGGCACCGGUACCGGUCAGCGACGAAUUCUUCGGGCCUCUUUCCGACCCGUCUUGAAACACGGACCAAGGAGUCUAACAUGCGCGCGAGUCGCGGGGUAUCGAGCGUACUUCGGUGCGUUCGUUAUGUUGCGAAACCCGUACAUGUCGAAGGCGUAAUGAAAGUGAAUGGGGAAGAUGGUGUUCCGAGUACACGUUUCCGCGAUCGUCGGUAUCGCGGCCGGGCACCCGCAUUCCCAGGGCGUCUCAACGGCCCGUCGUUGAUGCGGACAGUCGUCUUUCGGGGCGGCUGUCGGUCGGCGACGAACCGA